ACCCCUCUAUUCCUCUUCAUCCUUCCUGAUGUCGCUCUCCCCUCUCUCGGACCCAAUCGCGCCGAUCGCCGGCCGCUAGGCAUCGACGUCAACGACCACAAAGGAACAUACAUCUCUCCCCAUUGCCUCCAUUGCUCGUGCUACCGUUGUCCCGAUGCCUCAUCAAGCGUCGGCGCCAGGAUUCAUUAUAGCCGUGGAUGCCACUUCUUCCCUUUUCCCUAGCGUCGACCGCCCGAUCCACUACCACCUUUGGCCACGACAAGAGUUAGCCAGCAAGUGCCGAGCUUCCUCGCGCAUUUCUGGCCAAGACCCCUUCAGCCGAAUCCCUCUCCCUCUUCCAUCGAGGCACAUUCCUCUUCGCUGAAUUUGGCAUUGCUGCUAUCAGACCCCCUUCUUGGUCCAUAGGAGGCAUGGGGGGAUCUAUGCCUUGUCCAAUUUUGGUGAGGAUGACAACGGAACAUUGUCAUCUUUGUGGAUUCAAUGAGAGCUCCAACUCCUUACAAUUGCACUUGAGGUCUUUGAGAGUAGCUAUGAAUCUGAGUGGGAAGCUCCAUUUCCUUCAUAAUGGCUUUGGAUCUCUUCAUUGAAGGUUGUAGAUCAGUUUUGGGGUAAUAGGUAGAUUAUUGAGAAGUUGCUUGGAGGUUCCUGGCUGCCAGUCCCACGUCACAUCUGAGAUCGUUUUUUUAUGUUAUUUUGUAUUAUGCUUUCGAUACGUUGUGUUUGGUCUUGAUAUUAUGUGAUGUUAUUUGGUUUAUGAUUUUGAGCCUUGUGGUCAGAUUGUUAUUAUAUUUUGUAUUAUGGUACAAGUCAU
This is a long non-coding RNA of Zingiber officinale, 811 nucleotides long. RefSeq lists it as uncharacterized. The record is from RefSeq and is a predicted model, not a curated record. The transcript has 3 exons. Lineage: Eukaryota; Viridiplantae; Streptophyta; Magnoliopsida; Zingiberales; Zingiberaceae.